RNAcentral lists this ribosomal RNA (420 nucleotides) under uncultured bacterium. RNAcentral's name for it is "bacterial SSU rRNA". It matches the Rfam family "Bacterial small subunit ribosomal RNA", at positions 356 to 773 of the family's 1533-position model. The record is from RNAcentral.
GAGGAAUAUUGGUCAAUGGGCGAGAGCCUGAACCAGCCAAGUAGCGUGAAGGAUGACUGCCCUAUGGGUUGUAAACUUCUUUUAUAAAGGAAUAAAGUCGGGUAUGCAUACCCGUUUGCAUGUACUUUAUGAAUAAGGAUCGGCUAACUCCGUGCCAGCAGCCGCGGUAAUACGGAGGAUCCGAGCGUUAUCCGGAUUUAUUGGGUUUAAAGGGAGCGUAGAUGGAUGUUUAAGUCAGUUGUGAAAGUUUGCGGCUCAACCGUAAAAUUGCAGUUGAUACUGGAUAUCUUGAGUGCAGUUGAGGCAGGCGGAAUUCGUGGUGUAGCGGUGAAAUGCUUAGAUAUCACGAAGAACUCCGAUUGCGAAGGCAGCCUGCUAAGCUGCAACUGACAUUGAGGCUCGAAAGUGUGGGUAUCAAAC